GGUAACAAAAUACCAAGAACAACUAGAAAAGGAAUGAGAAUUUCUUAUUAGCCUCAAUUUUCUUCAAGGGAAAUACUGCAGAUUACUGCACAUGUAAGAGGAAGCCCUACAUUACCAUGACGCAUCUGGUUAUGACAUGCACACUGUACAAUGAUCAACAGUUGCCUGCCUUGGACUUUGGAGUUUGCAAGAACUAGUGUCAUAAACAAAGUUGCUCUUUCCUUUGCAAGAAGAAAAGAGCACGGUGGAAACAGAGAAGUGUGUCUUCUGUUUGGUCAGCAAGGCAGGAAAGGCCUUGUGUGCUCUGUCCGUCAACACUGAUAAGCUGUGACAUCAGGAGACUGGGAGGAUCCCCAGCUGUUCCACCUACACUGGGUCCCAGGGCGCGUGAUCCUGCUCAGGAAGCACGGGGAGCUCAAACGGAAAGAUGAGCACCACGAACACAAUGAGUCUACUCGGAGUUUCUUAUAUUAUUUGAGUAUCCAUAUAUUUGACUUCAAGAGACCUUUAUUUUCUGGGUUUCUUCCUUGUAGCUCAAAGAGUACGUGCUUUGAGCAUUUCAGUUGGUGCAGCACCUCUACAAAAGCCUUCCUUCAAAAGAGUCAAAACCUUAAGGAAUCUAGCAAAACUACAACAAGAUGCAUCAUAAUUGGUUUCUAUGAAUUAAGAAACAAUUGAUUUUUAACUUCUUAAGUAUAU
Long non-coding RNA from Rhinopithecus roxellana (golden snub-nosed monkey), 699 nucleotides. RefSeq lists it as uncharacterized. The record is from RefSeq and is a predicted model, not a curated record. Lineage: Eukaryota; Metazoa; Chordata; Mammalia; Primates; Cercopithecidae. The transcript has 3 exons.